This 497-nucleotide ribosomal RNA is filed under the name uncultured bacterium. RNAcentral describes it as "partial 16S ribosomal RNA". It matches the Rfam family "Bacterial small subunit ribosomal RNA", at positions 28 to 507 of the family's 1533-position model. The record is from RNAcentral.
GAUGAACGCUGGCGGCGUGCCUAAUACAUGCAAGUCGAGCGAACAGAUAAGGAGCUUGCUCCUUUGACGUUAGCGGCGGACGGGUGAGUAACACGUGGAUAACCUACCUAUAAGACUGGGAUAACUUCGGGAAACCGGAGCUAAUACCGGAUAACAUAUUGAACCGCAUGGUUCAAUAGUGAAAGGCGGCUUUGCUGUCACUUAUAGAUGGAUCCGCGCCGUAUUAGCUAGUUGGUAAGGUAACGGCUUACCAAGGCAACGAUACGUAGCCCACCUGAGAGGGUGACCGGCAAACCUGGAACUGAAACACGGUCAAGACUCCUACGGGAGGCAGCAGUAGGGAAUCUUCCGCAAUGGGCGAAAGCCUGACGGAGCAACGCCGCGUGAGUGAUGAAGGUCUUCGGAUCUUAAAACUCUGUGAUCAGGGAAGAACAAAUGUGUAAGUAACUGUGCACAUCUUGACGGUACCUUAUCAGAAAGCCACGGCUAACUACGUG